UACGAAGGGGGCUAGCGUUGUUCGGAAUUACUGGGCGUAAAGCGUGCGCAGGCGGCUUCUCAAGUCAGGGGUGAAAGCCCAGAGCUUAACUCUGGAAUUGCCUUUGAGACUGAGAGGCUUGAGUACGGGAGAGGUGAGUGGAAUUCCCAGUGUAGAGGUGAAAUUCGUAGAUAUUGGGAAGAACACCGGUGGCGAAGGCGGCUCACUGGCCCGUAACUGACGCUCAUGCACGACCGCGUGGGGAUCAAACAGG
RNAcentral lists this ribosomal RNA (253 nucleotides) under uncultured bacterium. RNAcentral's name for it is "partial 16S ribosomal RNA". It matches the Rfam family "Bacterial small subunit ribosomal RNA", at positions 524 to 776 of the family's 1533-position model. The record is from RNAcentral.